UACGGAGGGUGCAAGCAUUGAUCGGAAUUAUUGGGCGUAAAGGGCGCGUAGGCGGCCAGGUAAGUCAGAUGUGAAAUUCCGCGGCUCAACCGCGGAGCUGCAUUUGAAACUGCUUGACUUGAGCGUAGUUAGGGAAAACGGAAUUCCACGUGUAGCGGUGAAAUGCGUAGAUAUGUGGAAGAACACCGGUGGUGAAGACGGUUUUCUGGGCUAUUGCUGACGCUGAGGCGCGAAAGCUAGGGGAGCAAACAGG
RNAcentral lists this ribosomal RNA (253 nucleotides) under uncultured bacterium. RNAcentral's name for it is "partial 16S ribosomal RNA". It matches the Rfam family "Bacterial small subunit ribosomal RNA", at positions 524 to 776 of the family's 1533-position model. The record is from RNAcentral.